AUCUUUGCGCUUGGGGCAAUGACGCAGCUAGUGAGGUACUAACCGAGGCGCGUCUAUUGCUGGUUGAAAACUAUUUCCAAACCCCCUCUUAGGCCUGGGUUCAAGCCCAGGCCUUCGAGAAUUUCUGGAAGGGCUCCCUUUGGGGUAAAGUCCUACAAUUAUAAAGCC
Molecule: small nuclear RNA, 168 nt
Filed under: Cucumis melo (muskmelon)
Lineage: Eukaryota; Viridiplantae; Streptophyta; Magnoliopsida; Cucurbitales; Cucurbitaceae
Description: U4
Rfam family: U4 spliceosomal RNA
About the family: U4 small nuclear RNA (U4 snRNA) is a component of the major U2-dependent spliceosome. The structure of U4 snRNA from yeast and human has been reported.
Source: RNAcentral